This 492-nucleotide ribosomal RNA is filed under the name uncultured bacterium. Its description in RNAcentral is "partial 16S ribosomal RNA". It matches the Rfam family "Bacterial small subunit ribosomal RNA", at positions 29 to 507 of the family's 1533-position model. The record is from RNAcentral.
AGUGAACGCUGGCGGUAGGCCUAACACAUGCAAGUCGAACGGCAGCACAGUAAGAGCUUGCUCUUACGGGUGGCGAGUGGCGGACGGGUGAGGAAUACAUCGGAAUCUACUUUUUCGUGGGGGAUAACGUAGGGAAACUUACGCUAAUACCGCAUACGACCUACGGGUGAAAGCAGGGGAUCUUCGGACCUUGCGCUAUUGAAUGAGCCGAUGUCGGAUUAGCUAGUUGGCGGGGUAAAGGCCCACCAAGGCGACGAUCCGUAGCUGGUCUGAGAGGAUGAUCGGCCACACUGGAACUGAGACACGGUCCAGACUCCUACGGGAGGCAGCAGUGGGGAAUAUUGGACAAUGGGCGCAAGCCUGAUCCAGCCAUACCGCGUGGGUGAAGAAGGCCUUCGGGUUGUAAAGCCCUUUUGUUGGGAAAGAAAAGCAGCAGGUUAAUACCCCGCUGUUCCGACGGUACCCAAAGAAUAAGCACCGGCUAACUUCGUG